RNAcentral lists this ribosomal RNA (253 nucleotides) under uncultured bacterium. Its description in RNAcentral is "partial 16S ribosomal RNA". It matches the Rfam family "Bacterial small subunit ribosomal RNA", at positions 524 to 776 of the family's 1533-position model. The record is from RNAcentral.
UACGUAGGUGGCAAGCGUUGUUCGGAAUUACUGGGCGUAAAGCGCGCGCAGGCGGCUUUCCAAGUCAGUGGUGAAAGCCCGGAGCUCAACUCCGGAAUUGCCAUUGAAACUGUGAGACUUGAGUAUGAGAGAGGUGAGUGGAAUUCCCAGUGUAGAGGUGAAAUUCGUAGAUAUUGGGAAGAACACCGGUGGCGAAGGCGGCUCACUGGCUCAUUACUGACGCUCAGGCGCGACAGCGUGGGGAUCAAACAGG